GCGAACGCUGGCGGCAGGCCUAACACCUGCAAGUCGAACGAACCUUUCGGGGUUAGUGGCGGACGGGUGAGUAACACGUGGGAACGUGCCUUUAGGUUCGGAAUAACUCAGGGAAACUUGUGCUAAUACCGAAUGUGCCCUUCGGGGGAAAGAUUUAUCGCCUUUAGAGUGGCCCGCGUCUGAUUAGCUAGUUGGUUGAGGUAAUGGCUCACCAAGGCGACGAUCAGUAGCUGGUCUGAGAGGAUGAUUAGCCACAUGGGGACUGAGACACGGCCCAAACUCCUACGGGAGGCAGCGGUGGGGAAUCUUGCGCAAUGGGCGAAAGCCUGACGCAGCCAUGCCGCGUGAAUGAUGAAGGUCUUAGGAUUGUAAAAUUCUUUCACCGGGGACGAUAAUGACGGUACCCGGAGAAGAAGCCCCGGCUAACUUCGUG
This 433-nucleotide ribosomal RNA is filed under the name uncultured bacterium. Its description in RNAcentral is "partial 16S ribosomal RNA". It matches the Rfam family "Bacterial small subunit ribosomal RNA", at positions 29 to 507 of the family's 1533-position model. The record is from RNAcentral.